Molecule: ribosomal RNA, 748 nt
Filed under: Pseudomonas sp.
Lineage: Bacteria; Pseudomonadati; Pseudomonadota; Gammaproteobacteria; Pseudomonadales; Pseudomonadaceae
Description: bacterial SSU rRNA
Rfam family: Bacterial small subunit ribosomal RNA
Source: RNAcentral
GCAGUCGAGCGGUAGAGAGAAGCUUGCUUCUCUUGAGAGCGGCGGACGGGUGAGUAAUGCCUAGGAAUCUGCCUGGUAGUGGGGGAUAACGUCCGGAAACGGACGCUAAUACCGCAUACGUCCUACGGGAGAAAGCAGGGGACCUUCGGGCCUUGCGCUAUCAGAUGAGCCUAGGUCGGAUUAGCUAGUUGGUGAGGUAAUGGCUCACCAAGGCGACGAUCCGUAACUGGUCUGAGAGGAUGAUCAGUCACACUGGAACUGAGACACGGUCCAGACUCCUACGGGAGGCAGCAGUGGGGAAUAUUGGACAAUGGGCGAAAGCCUGAUCCAGCCAUGCCGCGUGUGUGAAGAAGGUCUUCGGAUUGUAAAGCACUUUAAGUUGGGAGGAAGGGCAUUAACCUAAUACGUUAGUGUUUUGACGUUACCGACAGAAUAAGCACCGGCUAACUCUGUGCCAGCAGCCGCGGUAAUACAGAGGGUGCAAGCGUUAAUCGGAAUUACUGGGCGUAAAGCGCGCGUAGGUGGUUUGUUAAGUUGGAUGUGAAAGCCCCGGGCUCAACCUGGGAACUGCAUUCAAAACUGACAAGCUAGAGUAUGGUACAGGGUGGUGGAAUUUCCUGUGUAGCGGUGAAAUGCGUAGAUNUAGGAAGGAACACCACUGGCGAAGGCGACCACCUGGACUGAUACUGACACUGAGGUGCGAAAGCGUGGGGAGCAUACAGGAUUAGAUACCCUGGUAGUCCACGCC